AAUGAACGCUGGCGGCAUGCCUAACACAUGCAAGUCGAACGAAGUCCUUCGGGGCUUAGUGGCGCACGGGUGCGUAACGCGUGGGAAUCUGCCCCUUGGUUCGGAAUAACAGUUGGAAACGACUGCUAAUACCGGAUGAUGACGUAAGUCCAAAGAUUUAUCGCCGAGGGAUGAGCCCGCGUAGGAUUAGGUAGUUGGUGUGGUAAAGGCGCACCAAGCCGACGAUCCUUAGCUGGUCUGAGAGGAUGAUCAGCCACACUGGGACUGAGACACGGCCCAGACUCCUACGGGAGGCAGCAGUGGGGAAUAUUGGACAAUGGGCGAAGGCCUGAUCCAGCAAUGCCGCGUGAGUGAUGAAGGCCUUAGGGUUGUAAAGCUCUUUUACCCGGGAUGAUAAUGACAGUACCGGGAGAAUAAGCUCCGGCUAACUCCGUG
This 435-nucleotide ribosomal RNA is filed under the name uncultured bacterium. RNAcentral's name for it is "partial 16S ribosomal RNA". It matches the Rfam family "Bacterial small subunit ribosomal RNA", at positions 29 to 507 of the family's 1533-position model. The record is from RNAcentral.